RNAcentral lists this ribosomal RNA (840 nucleotides) under Streptomyces sp. IM-0885. RNAcentral describes it as "bacterial SSU rRNA". It matches the Rfam family "Bacterial small subunit ribosomal RNA", at positions 38 to 889 of the family's 1533-position model. The record is from RNAcentral. Lineage: Bacteria; Bacillati; Actinomycetota; Actinomycetes; Kitasatosporales; Streptomycetaceae.
GGCGGCGUGCUUAACACAUGCAAGUCGAACGAUGCAACCGGUUUCGGCCGGGGAUUAGUGGCGAACGGGUGAGUAACACGUGGGCAAUCUGCCCUGCACUCUGGGACAAGCCCUGGAAACGGGGUCUAAUACCGGAUAUGACGCGUUCCCGCAUGGGAUACGUGUGGAAAGCUCCGGCGGUGCAGGAUGAGCCCGCGGCCUAUCAGCUUGUUGGUGGGGUGAUGGCCUACCAAGGCGACGACGGGUAGCCGGCCUGAGAGGGCGACCGGCCACACUGGGACUGAGACACGGCCCAGACUCCUACGGGAGGCAGCAGUGGGGAAUAUUGCACAAUGGGCGCAAGCCUGAUGCAGCGACGCCGCGUGAGGGAUGACGGCCUUCGGGUUGUAAACCUCUUUCAGCAGGGAAGAAGCGUGAGUGACGGUACCUGCAGAAGAAGCGCCGGCUAACUACGUGCCAGCAGCCGCGGUAAUACGUAGGGCGCAAGCGUUGUCCGGAAUUAUUGGGCGUAAAGAGCUCGUAGGCGGCUUGUCGCGUCGGAUGUGAAAGCCCGGGGCUUAACUCCGGGUCUGCAUUCGAUACGGGCAGGCUAGAGUUCGGUAGGGGAGAUCGGAAUUCCUGGUGUAGCGGUGAAAUGCGCAGAUAUCAGGAGGAACACCGGUGGCGAAGGCGGAUCUCUGGGCCGAUACUGACGCUGAGGAGCGAAAGCGUGGGGAGCGAACAGGAUUAGAUACCCUGGUAGUCCACGCCGUAAACGUUGGGAACUAGGUGUGGGCGACAUUCCACGUUGUCCGUGCCGCAGCUAACGCAUUAAGUUCCCCGCCUGGGGAGUACGGCCGC